Molecule: ribosomal RNA, 302 nt
Filed under: uncultured bacterium
Lineage: Bacteria
Description: partial 16S ribosomal RNA
Rfam family: Bacterial small subunit ribosomal RNA
Source: RNAcentral
GCAGCCGCCACGGUAAUACGAAGGGGGCUAGCGUUGUUCGGAUUUACUGGGCGUAAAGCGCACGUAGGCGGACUUUUAAGUCAGGGGUGAAAUCCCGGGGCUCAACCCCGGAACUGCCUUUGAUACUGGAAGUCUUGAGUAUGGUAGAGGUGAGUGGAAUUCCGAGUGUAGAGGUGAAAUUCGUAGAUAUUCGGAGGAACACCAGUGGCGAAGGCGGCUCACUGGACCAUUACUGACGCUGAGGUGCGAAAGCGUGGGGAGCAAACAGGAUUAGAUACCCCUGUAGUCCCUGUCUCUUAUAC